UACGAGGGGGGCGAGCGUUGUUCGGAAUUAUUGGGCGUAAAGGGUGCGCAGGCGGUUUGGUAAGUCUUAUGUGAAAUCUACAGGCUCAACUUGUAGUCUGCAUGAGAAACUGCCGGGCUUGAGUAUGGGAGAGGUGAGUGGAAUUCCUGGUGUAGCGGUGAAAUGCGUAGAUAUCAGGAGGAACACCUGUGGCGAAAGCGGCUCACUGGACCAUAACUGACGCUGAUGCACGAAAGCUAGGGGAGCAAACAGG
This 253-nucleotide ribosomal RNA is filed under the name uncultured bacterium. Its description in RNAcentral is "partial 16S ribosomal RNA". It matches the Rfam family "Bacterial small subunit ribosomal RNA", at positions 524 to 776 of the family's 1533-position model. The record is from RNAcentral.